Molecule: ribosomal RNA, 377 nt
Filed under: uncultured eukaryote
Lineage: Eukaryota
Description: partial 18S ribosomal RNA
Rfam family: Eukaryotic small subunit ribosomal RNA
Source: RNAcentral
CAAUAGCGUAUAUUAAAGUUGUUGCAGUUAAAAAGCUCGUAGUUGGAUUUCGGGGUGGCCUGGCUGGUCCGCCGCAAGGUGAGUACUGGUCAGCCGCCCUUCCUCUCGAAAGCCCCGACUGCUCUUUACUGCAGUGGUCGGGUAGUUCGGGACGUUUACUUUGAAAAAAUUAGAGUGUUCAAGGCAGGCUAUCGCCUGAAUACAUUAGCAUGGAAUAAUGGAAGAGGACCUCGGUCCUAUUUUGUUGGUUUCUAGGACCGAAGUAAUGAUUAAGAGGGACAGUUGGGGGCAUUCGUAUUUAAUUGUCAGAGGUGAAAUUCUUGGAUUUAUGAAAGACGAACUAGUGCGAAAGCAUUUGCCAAGGAUGUUUUCAUUAA